This 510-nucleotide ribosomal RNA is filed under the name Triticum aestivum (bread wheat). RNAcentral describes it as "partial small subunit ribosomal RNA". Lineage: Eukaryota; Viridiplantae; Streptophyta; Magnoliopsida; Poales; Poaceae. The record is from RNAcentral.
AUGAAGAAGGUGCGGGCGAGGCCGCGGCGGAUCCCGGCGUUCGGCGAGUGGAACUACUACGACGACGGCGGGUACGGGUACGGCGACGGCGCCGGCGACUGGCCGGCCACCCAGUGCUUGGACUCCGCCAGGCAGGCCGGCCUGUUCGUCUCGUUGCCGGCUUCACCGAAGCCACUCAAGAAGGUGGUAAAGUGGGGUGACAGCGGCACGCUGGAGGUGGACGGGGAGCAGAGGCAGAGGCAGAGGCAGAAGGUGGUGGUGGGGCUGCGCGAAGAGCACGGGCCGAGGAAGCAGCAGCAGGGGAAGCCCAUAGAAAUUUACCUGAAAGUGUCUGACGCCGCCGACGCCCACCUCGCCGCGAGCUGCACCAAAACCCUCAGGGCGAGGGUGGUCAAAGCCGUGGACGAGGACCUCUACGUGAUCCCGCCGGAGAUGCUCUGCCACAACAACCCACGCAAGAGGCUGACGAAAAGGCUGUGGAUCGGGUGUCUCGGCUGCGUCUCCGCCUAG